RNAcentral lists this small RNA (585 nucleotides) under Pongo abelii (Sumatran orangutan). RNAcentral's name for it is "processed transcript". The record is from RNAcentral. Lineage: Eukaryota; Metazoa; Chordata; Mammalia; Primates; Hominidae.
UAAGAGUCGCAGAUAACUAAACCGGAUUCUUCCGAGGGUUCCGGCCUGGGUUUUCAGGCCUGUUUGCUAUGGAAGAGCAGGUUCCUGGAGCACCGCCAAGGCCCAUUGCCUGGAUGGAGGCAGCUUCCACGCGGCACGUUUGGGUGGAAAUGCCCAAAGGGAGAAUCUGCAGAAUCUGGAGCACCUGACACCCGACGCUUCUCGGGCUUUCUGCCCGUGUGGCCAGGCUUGGGCCGUGACUGUCUCCCAGGGGACCUCCAUCUCUGCCCCACCAGCCUGGCCUUGGUGGAGGGGCGCUGGCUCACCCUGCAGCUGGCAGCCAACCAUGCAGACCUGGUCUCCCCGGCCGACCCCUUGAGGCUCGCUCUCCACUCCAUCCAGACCAGGGAUGGCGGGGACGUGGACUUCGUGCUAUUCUGGAAAGGAGAAGGGGUGUGUAAAGAAACAAACAUCACCGUCCAUCCAACCCAGUUGCAAGGCCAGUACCAAGGCUCAUUUGAGGGCGGCAGCAUGCACGUACGCUUCGUCAGCACCGACUACAGCAACCUCAUUCUUUACGUGCGCUUUGAGGAUGACGAGGUCACC